Long non-coding RNA from Sebastes umbrosus (honeycomb rockfish), 630 nucleotides. RefSeq lists it as uncharacterized. NCBI's taxonomy places the organism in Eukaryota, Metazoa, Chordata, Actinopteri, Perciformes, Sebastidae. The transcript is spliced from 2 exons. The record is from RefSeq and is a predicted model, not a curated record.
GCAAGACGUUUCAAAAUUAUCAAUUAUCUGAAGGAUUUUUUAGCAACCUUCCUGUUGACCUGCUUCCAGCGUGCCAAUAUUUAGCCUUUUGUCUCUGGUUUCCUGCCUCUAGUCUUCUUCUGCAGCCCUACCAGAGGCCAUGCAUUCACCAGUCUCCUGCCAAGCAUCUCCAACUUUUCAGUCCUCCUCUCCCACCAGCUGAUUUACACGAAGCAUACAGUAUCAUCUGACUACUUCUGGGCCUCAGCUGUCUGCUGCAAGCGCAUCAUGAAUCGCUCCACGUCGUCAAAGCAGUGGUUCAUCAUCUCCUGAAGAAAAUCACUGUAUGUUUUAGCCAUUUACCAGAGCAACUUACAGAGAGUGUUUUAAUAAGUUAACAGUUCAUAUCACUGGUAAUUUAUUUUAAGUUUUUAGUGAAGUCAAACAACCUACUAUAUGCAAUCCAGUGCACUGCAAUAGGUACAUUUGUAAUGCUUAUACUGUUAAAUAUUUGAGAGUGUAUGAAAGAGGCAUUGACUCAUGUGCGAUCUUCUAAGGUGUUGUUAUUUUGUCGACCUUGUGGAGCACUAAAGCCAUAUGAAUAUCUUAUCAAAUGUAAUCCAAUACAAUAAACUAAUGCCUCAAAUAUUA